This 69-nucleotide transfer RNA is filed under the name Colpocephalum eucarenum. Its description in RNAcentral is "tRNA-Met". Lineage: Eukaryota; Metazoa; Arthropoda; Insecta; Psocodea; Menoponidae. The record is from RNAcentral.
UGAAAGAUAGGCUAUGUUUAAGCCAAUAGGUUCAUACCCUUUUGAAAAGUUUUAAUAACUUUCUUUCGA